GUGCCAGCAGCCGCGGUAAUACGUAGGGUCCAAGCGUUAUCCGGAAUUACUGGGCGUAAAGAGUUGCGUAGGUGGCAUAGAAAGCGAAUAGUGAAAGCGUGUGGCUCAACCAUACAUCCAUUAUUUGAACUACUAAGCUAGAGGACGAGAGAGGUAGAUGGAAUUCCUAAUGUAGGGGUAAUAUCCGUAGAUAUUAGGAGGAACACCGAUGGCGUAGGCAGUCUACUGGCUCGUUUCUGACACUAAGGCACGAAAGCGUGGGGAGCAAACAGGAUUAGAAACCCCAGUAGUCC
This 293-nucleotide ribosomal RNA is filed under the name uncultured bacterium. Its description in RNAcentral is "partial 16S ribosomal RNA". It matches the Rfam family "Bacterial small subunit ribosomal RNA", at positions 505 to 796 of the family's 1533-position model. The record is from RNAcentral.